Long non-coding RNA from Lathyrus oleraceus (garden pea), 706 nucleotides. RefSeq lists it as uncharacterized. NCBI's taxonomy places the organism in Eukaryota, Viridiplantae, Streptophyta, Magnoliopsida, Fabales, Fabaceae. The record is from RefSeq and is a predicted model, not a curated record. The transcript is spliced from 2 exons.
CUUUUUUUUUUACCAAUUAUAAUUCUACCAGAAGUCUAAAUCAUCUAAACUAUAUAUUUAAAAAAAAAACAUUUUCAUUCUUGUUAUUGGCAAAGAAUAUUUCUUAAUUCACUUCGAUAAGCCCGAUGCUGCAGCUAUAACAUGGCCCAAUGGUUGGAAUCACUUAUUUCAUAGUUUGUAUAUAUGUGUAGGUGUUUACUUUCAUCUGAACCUCAUUAAGCAUUUUUCAGCAUCCAUUACAAAAGACAGCUAGCACACAAAUCACUUUUUCUUGUCUUUCUCUUCUAUAAACCAAAAUAUUCACUUGUUCAUCCUCAACUAUCAAUAAGUCAAUUAUAACCAUGAUUCUAAUGCCAUUAAUGUUAACUUCAUUGAUGAAGCUUGCAAAGGCACUAGUGUGUGAACCUACUUCAACUCUCACAACAAUUCUCUAUUAUGGAAACUUGCUUCCUAGAAAUCUUAACUUGGACAGAUUAGUGAGGAGAGAGUUUCUUCAACAAGAAAAUUAUUUCUUCCAUUUUCUCAUUGCAAUGUUGAGGUGUGUAUGGUAAUUAUAGUACUAGGACAUAAGUAUCAAGUUAUGUGGUAAUUGAUGGGAACAAAUUAGUGUAUGUACUUAUGGAAGCACACCAUGUGGUAGCAUAGUGAUAUUUGUUCAAAAGGAAUGUGUGAAGAUUAAUGUAGAUGUUUCAUGUUUCCAGAGACA